GCUCAGAUUGAACGCUGGCGGCAGGCCUAACACAUGCAAGUCGAACGGUAACAGAAAGCAGCUUGCUGCUUUGCUGACGAGUGGCGGACGGGUGAGUAAUGUCUGGGAAACUGCCCGAUGGAGGGGGAUAACUACUGGAAACGGUAGCUAAUACCGCAUAACGUCGCAAGACCAAAGAGGGGGACCUUCGGGCCUCUUGCCAUCGGAUGUGCCCAGAUGGGAUUAGCUAGUAGGUGGGGUAACGGCUCACCUAGGCGACGAUCCCUAGCUGGUCUGAGAGGAUGACCAGCCACACUGGAACUGAGACACGGUCCAGACUCCUACGGGAGGCAGCAGUAGGGAAUAUUGCACAAUGGGCGCAAGCCUGAUGCAGCCAUGCCGCGUGUAUGAAGAAGGCCUUCGGGUUGUAAAGUACUUUCAGCGGGGAGGAAGGGAGUAAAGUUAAUACCUUUGCUCAUUGACGUUACCCGCAGAAGAAGCACCGGCUAACUCCGUGCCAGCAGCCGCGGUAAUACGGAGGGUGCAAGCGUUGAUCGGAAUUACUGGGCGUAAAGCGCACGCAGGCGGUUUGUUAAGUCAGAUGUGAAAUCCCCGGUCUCACCCUGGGAACUGCAUCUGAUACUGGCAAGCUUGAGUCUCGUAGAGGGGGGUAGAAUUCCAGGUGUAGCGGUGAAAUGCGUAGAGAUCUGGAGGAAUACCGGUGGCGAAGGCGGCCCCCUGGACGAAGACUGACGCUCAGGUGCGAAAGCGUGGGGAGCAAACAGGAUUAGAUACCCUGGUAGUCCACGCCGUAAACGAUGUCGACUUGGAGGUUGUGCCCUUGAGGCGUGGCUUCCGGAGCUAACGCGUUAAGUCGACCGCCUGGGGAGUACGGCCGCAAGGUUAAAACUCAAAUGAAUUGACGGGGGCCCGCACAAGCGGUGGAGCAUGUGGUUUAAUUCGAUGCAACGCGAAGAACCUUACCUGGUCUUGACAUCCACGGAAGUUUUCAGAGAUGAGAAUGUGCCUUCGGGAACCGUGAGACAGGUGCUGCAUGGCUGUCGUCAGCUCGUGUUGUGAAAUGUUGGGUUAAGUCCCGCAACGAGCGCAACCCUUAUCCUUUGUUGCCAGCGGUCCGGCCGGGAACUCAAAGGAGACUGCCAGUGAUAAACUGGAGGAAGGUGGGGAUGACGUCAAGUCAUCAUGGCCCUUACGACCAGGGCUACACACGUGCUACAAUGGCGCAUACAAAGAGAAGCGACCUCGCGAGAGCAAGCGGACCUCAUAAAGUGCGUCGUAGUCCGGAUUGGAGUCUGCAACUCGACUCCAUGAAGUCGGAAUCGCUAGUAAUCGUGGAUCAGAAUGCCACGGUGAAUACGUUCCCGGGCCUUGUACACACCGCCCGUCACACCAUGGGAGUGGGUUGCAAAAGAAGUAGGUAGCUUAACCUUCGGGAGGGCGCUUACCACUUUGUGAUU
Molecule: ribosomal RNA, 1457 nt
Filed under: uncultured organism
Description: 16S ribosomal RNA
Rfam family: Bacterial small subunit ribosomal RNA
Source: RNAcentral